UAUUCUGCCCCAUGGGGAAGGAUGAGAAGCUUCGACUAAGGUUCGACUCGAGCGAAGCGAGAGAACGUUGCCGCAGGCAACGGCCCGAAGGGCGAGGCGC
Molecule: small RNA, 100 nt
Filed under: Klebsiella pneumoniae
Lineage: Bacteria; Pseudomonadati; Pseudomonadota; Gammaproteobacteria; Enterobacterales; Enterobacteriaceae
Also listed under: 1 other name
Description: partial RtT sRNA
Rfam family: RtT RNA
About the family: This family represents a bacterial cis-regulatory element known as RtT RNA. The exact function of RtT is unknown although it is thought that it may be involved in changing the cellular response in relation to amino acid starvation.
Source: RNAcentral